AGAAAACUACAACAAAAAAGAAAUAAGUUUUGCUUCUUUCUUACUCCUCUUCUCAUUCAUCUUCUCGCUAAGACCUCUCCAAACCCUCAGCCUUGCUCUCUCCCUGCUCCUUCAUCCAUUGCUUGUUCACCGGAGACCACUUAGGGCAUUUGGGGCUGAAGUACUUCUCUUUCACCCUCCCAUCCAACAGCUCCACCACGGCCGCUGCCUUAACACACCUCGGCGCCUUAUACUGAUUAAUCG
Molecule: unclassified non-coding RNA, 243 nt
Filed under: Hevea brasiliensis (rubber tree)
Lineage: Eukaryota; Viridiplantae; Streptophyta; Magnoliopsida; Malpighiales; Euphorbiaceae
Source: RNAcentral